GAUUAAGAACUUCCCACGUGAAAUACUUUGAACAUAAGUGUUUUUAUGGGAAAAAAACACUUACCAUGACGAAAAAUAAAUGUAUUGUGAAAUUUUAGAGGGGUUAAUAAAAUGUUCAUAUGUAUAUCCCAUUUUAGCAAUUAGUUGAAUUAUUUUGAAGCAAUCCAGGUUGGAUUUUAAAGCUACUUUUAUUCAAGCUAAACUAGAAUUUCGGAUGCUAACGGAAUACGCGCAUGGUAAAAAUCAAAACAUUGCGAAUUAUUUCAAGUCUACACUACAUGAAAUUGCGUGGAGAGGUCAGGUAUGUGAGUAAACAUGCACAAUAUUAUUAUAGUGUUACUAUAACGAGACACAAAGAUAGCCGCCGCGUCACUGAGUUAGCUGAGGUCAAUAAACACUAUAGUUGUUCACUUGUAAAUAGGCACACAACAAAGCUGAGUUAAUGUCUAAGACGGGGUUUGCCGGUUUGGGCAAACUAAUUCAAAAUGGAGUUCCCGAAACCAUAUAAUCUAAUAGGUAGAUAUCAUGUGAACGUGUAUUGUAGCACACACGUACACAUACAACUAACGCGUGUAUUUUAAUAGGUAAUAAAAAAAUAAUAGUUAAAAACACUAACAGUAUACAUAGAUAAUUUAUGCGUUUUUUAUAAAGGUAUUUUUUCUAUUUCUACGAAUUCCUUGACGGUUGACCGGCUAGAUUAACGGCCCAGACAAAUAUUUUUGUUUAAAACAUUACGCAACCAUAUUUUCGAUCUAACCUAGAGCAUGUAAAAAUUAACAAAUAAAAUAAUUUCAUAGGUUUUAUAUGAAUUUAUUCUCACGGAUAUGUAUAUUUGAAAACCCUUUCUAGUAAAAAGUUUUACAUAAUCUUUUUUUUUAAACAUCGAAAUUAUGAAUAGCAUUGUAUUUUACAUAGAAACCUGAUUUCUUCAGUUGGUUGUUGAGCAAUUGACUAAAAAAAAAGCCUUAUGUUAAUUAUUUUUUGGUAUGGCAUGUUAUAUAGUUAAUCAUUGAGAUU
Long non-coding RNA from Daktulosphaira vitifoliae (grape phylloxera), 1017 nucleotides. RefSeq lists it as uncharacterized. The transcript is spliced from 3 exons. NCBI's taxonomy places the organism in Eukaryota, Metazoa, Arthropoda, Insecta, Hemiptera, Phylloxeridae. The record is from RefSeq and is a predicted model, not a curated record.